Molecule: non-coding RNA, 444 nt
Organism: Paramuricea clavata
Lineage: Eukaryota; Metazoa; Cnidaria; Anthozoa; Malacalcyonacea; Plexauridae
Source: the annotation of a GenBank genome assembly
ACCUUUUACUUACUCAAAAUUUUGUUUACCCAACCCUUUUCUCUUCGGCGCCACCCACCGCUAUAAAUAAUGACCUCUCCCUAAACCAAGAACAAACUAGUCUGAUUGUACGUUCUUUUUGUCGAAAUAUUUCAAAAAGUGCCGGUAACUUCAAACUUCGUCCCAGGGCUUCGGGAACGAGGUUGGGUCAGUUCAGAACGAAGGAUCUUCUAUUUUUCAGAUAACUUGAUCGUACAAUCUCUCAAGAAUAUUCUCAAAUAUUUGCAUAUAAAUUUAGCAUAGGAAGCUCUUUGUUUUGAAUUGUAUUUGUCUACUAUUAACCCCCGCCAAGGCCAACUCCUAUUUACUUCCAAUUACGUCAUUUUAACCUCAAGGCCAUCUUUACAUUUUCCAAGUUGCGUUGAAAUAUGGUUAAAACAGCCGUCAAAACAUCAUGUUCUCACA